RNAcentral lists this ribosomal RNA (380 nucleotides) under uncultured eukaryote. RNAcentral describes it as "partial 18S ribosomal RNA". It matches the Rfam family "Eukaryotic small subunit ribosomal RNA", at positions 592 to 976 of the family's 1831-position model. The record is from RNAcentral.
CGAUAGCGUAUAUUAAAGUUGUUGCGGUUAAAAAGCUCGUAGUUGGAUUUCUGCUGAGGAUGACCGGUCCGCCCUCCGGGUGAGUAUCUGGCUCAGCCUUGGCAUCUUCCUGAAGAACGUAACUGCACUUGACUGUGUGGUGCGGUAUUUAGGACAUUUACUUUGAGGAAAUUAGAGUGUUUCAAGCAAGCGCACGCCUUGAAUACAUUAGCAUGGAAUAAUAAGAUAGGACCUCGGUUCUAUUUUGUUGGUUUCUAGAGCUGAGGUAAUGAUUGAUAGGGAUAGUUGGGGGCAUUCGUAUUUAACUGUCAGAGGUGAAAUUCUUGGAUUUGCUAAAGACGGACUACUGCGAAAGCAUUUGCCAAGGAUGUUUUCAUUGA